RNAcentral lists this ribosomal RNA (469 nucleotides) under uncultured bacterium. RNAcentral's name for it is "partial 16S ribosomal RNA". It matches the Rfam family "Bacterial small subunit ribosomal RNA", at positions 28 to 507 of the family's 1533-position model. The record is from RNAcentral.
GAUGAACGCUGGCGGCGUGCUUAACACAUGCAAGUCGAACGGUGAACACGGAGCUUGCUCUGUGGGAUCAGUGGCGAACGGGUGAGUAACACGUGAGCAACCUGCCCCUGACUCUGGGAUAAGCGCUGGAAACGGCGUCUAAUACUGGAUAUGUGACGUGACCGCAUGGUGUGCGUUUGGAAAGAUUGUUCGGUUGGGGAUGGGCUCGCGGCCUAUCAGCUUGUUGGUGAGGUAAUGGCUCACCAAGGCGUCGACGGGUAGCCGGCCUGAGAGGGUGACCGGCCACACUGGGACUGAGACACGGCCCAGACUCCUACGGGAGGCAGCAGUGGGGAAUAUUGCACAAUGGGCGCAAGCCUGAUGCAGCAACGCCGCGUGAGGGAUGACGGCCUUCGGGUUGUAAACCUCUUUUAGCAGGGAAGAAGCGAAAGUGACGGUACCUGCAGAAAAAGCGCCGGCUAACUACGUG